This 460-nucleotide ribosomal RNA is filed under the name uncultured bacterium. Its description in RNAcentral is "partial 16S ribosomal RNA". It matches the Rfam family "Bacterial small subunit ribosomal RNA", at positions 338 to 795 of the family's 1533-position model. The record is from RNAcentral.
CCUACGGGUGGCAGCAGUGAGGAAUAUUGGUCAAUGGGCGGAAGCCUGAACCAGCCAAGUCGCGUGAGGGAAUAAGGCCCUACGGGUCGUAAACCUCUUUUGCCGGGGAGCAAGGGCGGGGACGUGUCCCGGCUCGGAGAGUACCCGGAGAAAAAGCAUCGGCUAACUCCGUGCCAGCAGCCGCGGUAUUACGGAGGUUGCGAGCGUUAUCCGGAUUUAUGGGGUUUAAGGGGUGCGUAGGCGGGCUUUUAAGUCAGCGGUAAAAAUUCGGGGCUCAACCCCGUCUGGCCGUUGAAACUGGAGGCCUUGAGUGGGCGAGAGGAAGGCGGAAUGCGUGGUGUAGCGGUGAAAUGCAUAGAUAUCACGCAGAACCCCGAUUGCGAAGGCAGCCUUCCGGCGCCCUACUGACGCUGAGGCACGAAAGUGCGGGGAUCGAACAGGAUUAGAUACCCAAGUAGUC